ACUAGUGAUUUCCGUAGGUGAACCUGCGGAAGGAUCAUUAACGUUGGUUGGCUUGAAACACACCGUGAACCUUACAAUACCUUGGAGUGGGGUAGACGUGACGUCUUUAAAUGAACGACGAUCAUUGCCAUCGUAUGACAAUGUGUCUUUCAGCCCCGCUCGCUGUUUUUUAACACAACUCAUUGUACAGUCUGAAAUGUUGUAACACAACUCUGGAGUCAGAGGAUGUGAUUGAAAAAAAGUUGAGACAACUUUUAACGGUGGAUCUCUUGGCUCGUGCAUCGAUGAAGAACGCAGCCAGGUGCGAUAAGUAGUGUGAAUUGCAGAAUUCAGUGAAUCAUCGAAUAUUUGAACGCAAAUGGCGCUCUUGGGUUCUCCCAGGAGCAUGUCUGUCUGAGUGUCGGUUUAAAAACUAACGCACACCGGCGUGCCCGGGUUGGUGCGGCGUUGAGGCGUCACUGUCCCCCCACGUAAGACAGUGUCCCUUGAAGUGCAGAGAGACUCGGUCGCGAAUGCAAGUCUUCGUGACAUCCAGAGGCCAAAAUGAUAUUUUCCCUCGUUGGAUGUUUUCACAAAGUUGCUUCGCGGGUCGAAGAGGCGAACUAAUACCAUCUUGACCUCAGAUCAGGCAAGACUACCCGGUGAAUUUAAGCAUAUCA
Molecule: ribosomal RNA, 659 nt
Filed under: uncultured eukaryote
Lineage: Eukaryota
Description: eukaryotic LSU rRNA
Rfam family: 5.8S ribosomal RNA (bases 250-403)
Source: RNAcentral